UAGGGAAUCUUCCGCAAUGGACGAAAGUCUGACGGAGCAACGCCGCGUGAGUGAAGAAGGAUUUCGGUUCGUAAAACUCUGUUGUUAGGGAAGAAAAAAUGUAUAGUAACUAUAUACAAAAGAGACGGUACCUAACCAGAAAGCCACGGCUAACUACGUGCCAGCAGCCGCGGUAAUACGUAGGUGGCAAGCGUUGUCCGGAAUUAUUGGGCGUAAAGCGCGCGCAGGUGGUUUAGAAAGUCUGAUGUGAAAGCCCACGGCUCAACCGUGGAGGGUCAUUGGAAACUAAUAAACUUGAGUGCAGGAGAGAAAAGUGGAAUUCCUAGUGUAGCGGUGAAAUGCGUAGAGAUUAGGAGGAACACCGGUGGCGAAGGCGACUUGCUGGACUUCAACUGACGCUGAGGAACGAAAGCGUGGGUAGCAAACAGG
This 429-nucleotide ribosomal RNA is filed under the name Verrucomicrobiota bacterium. RNAcentral describes it as "Verrucomicrobia bacterium partial 16S ribosomal RNA". It matches the Rfam family "Bacterial small subunit ribosomal RNA", at positions 355 to 776 of the family's 1533-position model. The record is from RNAcentral. Lineage: Bacteria; Pseudomonadati; Verrucomicrobiota.